UUUUUCCUUUUUCCAUAGCGGAGGAAAAGAAACCAACAGGGAUUGCCUCAGUAACGGCGAGUGAAGCGGCAAAAGCUCAAAUUUGAAAUCUGGUACCUUCGGUGCCCGAGUUGUAAUUUGAAGAUAGUUUUCUGGUGCUGGCCCUUGUCUAUGUUCCUUGGAACAGGACGUCACAGAGGGUGAGAAUCCCGUCUGGCGGGGUGUCCAGUGCUUUGUAGAUUUCUAUCGACGAGUCGAGUUGUUUGGGAAUGCAGCUCUAAGUGGGUGGUAAAUUCCAUCUAAAGCUAAAUAUUGGCGAGAGACCGAUAGCGAACAAGUACAGUGAUGGAAAGAUGAAAAGAACUUUGAAAAGAGAGUGAAAAAGUACGUGAAAUUGUUGAAAGGGAAGGGUAUUAGAUCAGACUUGGUGUUUUGUGAUUAUCUUCCCUUCUUGGGUUGUGCACUCGCAUUUCACUGGGCCAGCAUCGGUUCGGGUGGUAAGAUAAUGACAUUGGAACGUGGCACUGCCUUCGGGUGGUGUGUUAUAGCCCUUGUUGAUGUUGCCUACCUGGACCGAGGACUGCGGCUUUUGCCUAGGAUGCUGGCGUAAUGAUCUAACACCGCCCGUCUUG
RNAcentral lists this ribosomal RNA (611 nucleotides) under Williopsis saturnus. RNAcentral's name for it is "eukaryotic LSU rRNA". It matches the Rfam family "Eukaryotic large subunit ribosomal RNA", at positions 33 to 656 of the family's 3401-position model. Lineage: Eukaryota; Fungi; Ascomycota; Saccharomycetes; Phaffomycetales; Wickerhamomycetaceae. The record is from RNAcentral.